Molecule: long non-coding RNA, 349 nt
Filed under: Salvia miltiorrhiza (redroot sage)
Lineage: Eukaryota; Viridiplantae; Streptophyta; Magnoliopsida; Lamiales; Lamiaceae
Description: long non-coding RNA (SMIL_LNC008910)
Source: RNAcentral
GGGAAACAUGCAAUAAUUGUCCACGUUAAUAAAAUGGUCAACACAUACGCACUGCACUGUACUGAUAACUGAAAUUCGCACGGUGGCAUACCAAGGACUUUAAUGUCCUGGACCCAUUGAGCGGGCCCCUGGCGAAUAGGUUGCAACCCUAACUGUAACAUGAAAUCGCAUUGUGGCAUACCAAGGACGGUGAAGUCCUGGACCCAUUGAGCGGGCCCCUAGCGAUAUAACUGAAUUUACAACACAUAUGGCAAACACAUACUAUUAAAAUGGACAACAAUUAACCACGGCAUGUACUGAAAUAAAUCCCACACCUGUAACUUGAACUUUGAAAUUGACUGCGAGAAUU